Molecule: ribosomal RNA, 891 nt
Filed under: uncultured bacterium
Lineage: Bacteria
Description: bacterial SSU rRNA
Rfam family: Bacterial small subunit ribosomal RNA
Source: RNAcentral
GAGUUUGAUCCUGGCUCAGAUUGAACGCUGGCGGCAUGCCUUACACAUGCAAGUCGAACGGCAGCACGGAGCUUGCUCUGGUGGCGAGUGGCGAACGGGUGAGUAAUAUAUCGGAACGUACCCUAGAGUGGGGGAUAACGUAGCGAAAGUUACGCUAAUACCGCAUACGAUCUAAGGAUGAAAGUGGGGGAUCGCAAGACCUCAUGCUCGUGGAGCGGCCGAUAUCUGAUUAGCUAGUUGGUAGGGUAAAAGCCUACCAAGGCAUCGAUCAGUAGCUGGUCUGAGAGGACGACCAGCCACACUGGAACUGAGACACGGUCCAGACUCCUACGGGAGGCAGCAGUGGGGAAUUUUGAACAAUGGGGGAAAGCCUGAUCCAGCAAUGCCGCGUGAGUGAAGAAGGCCUUCGGGUUGUAAAGCUCUUUUGUCAGGGAAGAAACGGUGAAAGCUAAUAUCUUUUGCUAAUGACGGUACCUGAAGAAUAAGCACCGGCUAACUACGUGCCAGCAGCCGCGGUAAUACGUAGGGUGCAAGCGUUAAUCGGAAUUACUGGGCGUAAAGCGUGCGCAGGCGGUUUUGUAAGUCUGAUGUGAAAUCCCCGGGCUCAACCUGGGAAUUGCAUUGGAGACUGCAAGGCUAGAAUCUGGCAGAGGGGGGUAGAAUUCCACGUGUAGCAGUGAAAUGCGUAGAUAUGUGGAGGAACACCGAUGGCGAAGGCAGCCCCCUGGGUCAAGAUUGACGCUCAUGCACGAAAGCGUGGGGAGCAAACAGGAUUAGAUACCCUGGUAGUCCACGCCCUAAACGAUGUCUACUAGUUGUCGGGUCUUAAUUGACUUGGUAACGCAGCUAACGCGUGAAGUAGACCGCCUGGGGAGUACGGUCGCAAGAUUA